This 66-nucleotide transfer RNA is filed under the name Campodea lubbockii. Its description in RNAcentral is "Campodea lubbocki tRNA-Trp". The record is from RNAcentral. Lineage: Eukaryota; Metazoa; Arthropoda; Diplura; Rhabdura; Campodeidae.
AAGCCUUUAAGUUAAACUAAACUAAUAGCCUUCAAAGCUAGAAAUGAUACCCUCUCUCAAGACUUA